CAGUCGCCGCGGUAAUACGUAGGUGGCAAGCGUUGUCCGGAAUUAUUGGGCGUAAAGGGCUCGCAGGCGGUUUCUUAAGUCUGAUGUGAAAGCCCCCGGCUCAACCGGGGAGGGUCAUUGGAAACUGGGAAACUUGAGUGCAGAAGAGGAGGGUGGAAUUCCACGUGUAGCGGUGAAAUGCGUAGAGAUGUGGAGGAACACCAGUGGCGAAGGCGACUCUCUGGUCUGUAACUGACGCUGAGGAGCGAAAGCGUGGGGAGCGAACAGGAUUAGAUACCCCAGUAGUCCCUGUCUCUUAUAC
This 301-nucleotide ribosomal RNA is filed under the name uncultured bacterium. Its description in RNAcentral is "partial 16S ribosomal RNA". It matches the Rfam family "Bacterial small subunit ribosomal RNA", at positions 509 to 807 of the family's 1533-position model. The record is from RNAcentral.